AUCAACCUCACGAGUCCCAAAUAGGACGAAACGUGCGUCAAACUGGAU
This 48-nucleotide non-coding RNA is filed under the name Schistosoma mattheei. Lineage: Eukaryota; Metazoa; Platyhelminthes; Trematoda; Strigeidida; Schistosomatidae. The record is from RNAcentral.